CAUAGAGUAAAGAUCAAUAGGAUGCCUACUGGCUCCAUUAGCUUGGUGUAAAGAGGGGGGGAGAGGGAACCUGCUCUUCCGCAAGAGAAACUACAUUAUUCCAGGGAUUAUGCGGGAUCAGUUCACUUUGCAGAGGAGAAGAAGAAGAGAAAGUGAAUGAAGAUUCUUGGUGGGCCAAGACUGGAGAGAAAGGGCUUGCCAGGGCCCUUUCUGUGUCCAUGAAGACAUGUCAAUUCACUCACACAUUGCUCUCUACCUGAAGAUCUGGAGCUGUCAACAAGCAAAAGUACAGGAUGUGAGAACUCGUAUGGAAAU
This is a long non-coding RNA of Mastomys coucha (southern multimammate mouse), 315 nucleotides long. RefSeq lists it as uncharacterized. The record is from RefSeq and is a predicted model, not a curated record. Lineage: Eukaryota; Metazoa; Chordata; Mammalia; Rodentia; Muridae. The transcript is spliced from 3 exons.